Bombus terrestris (buff-tailed bumblebee) is the source of this 2227-nucleotide long non-coding RNA. RefSeq lists it as uncharacterized. The record is from RefSeq and is a predicted model, not a curated record. The transcript has 3 exons. NCBI's taxonomy places the organism in Eukaryota, Metazoa, Arthropoda, Insecta, Hymenoptera, Apidae.
GUCAGAGCACAUAUGUGGAUUGUUCAAAAUUACAAGGUAAAAAUAAAACUAAUCGGUAGGUGUAUGUAAAUCUGUUUUAUACUAUUACCUCAAUGUACUGUAAUGUUCACGUUAUAACGAGUAAUUAUUUACAUUUUAUAUAUUACAUUAUACAUAUGUACAUUUUAUUUUAUAUCUAUAUUUUAUUACGUGAACGAUUUUCAGUGGGAUUAUGUACGUAUGUUGGACACAAAUUAAUUAAGUCGAUUAAAUGUUUCUGAGCAUUUUCCGUGAAUAAUAUCAAAAAUUAAAACAUUAUAUGCACACUGCACAUACCGAAUGCUACUUACAAUACGGUUUAAUUUGUAAAUUAGAUAUAUUUUAUAUUGGCGAUAAUGACCAUUAAUAGAAUAAGACAUUUGGAAUUAUAAAGGCUACUAUUAUCCUUCUAACCAUGCACGAAGGAAUCAUUAACAGCUUGGUGGGAAUUUUAUAUCCAAUUGUACUAUUUUAAUUUUUUCCAACGGAACUGAAUAUUUUCAAGAAUUUCACUUAAUUUUUUUUAUUUAAUUGCCGGUAUUUCUUAAAUCUUUAGAAUUAAUUUAAAAUUUCAAGUAAUAUUUACAACAUGUGAUAAUCCCGGGAAAAAGUAAAUUUCGCCGUAAGCAUGUGGUUAGAAAAUUAAUUAAUUAUAAAAUUAUAAAAAAACUGAUGUACAAUUUUUAUGUCACUUUGAUGUUUUUAAUGUAGCACUAUGUUAUAAUUAUAUAGUUACAGCAUUAUUAAGCAACUUGAUAAAAGAGAAUCAAUGAAUGAUAUCAAUGUUUAUGCAUAUUCCACUUCGGUGUAGCUAUCACUUGAGGUACACUGCAAACGAAUAUAUUACGGAAAUUUCUGGAUGCGAGAAAAGUAAUGACGUUUACACGAAGAUACUAUUCGCCGUGCGUGUUCACAUAAAAGCGACGAAGCAUGUACAGGUCAUAUGGGACAUGUUUGGAAUACAUUACGUCAUUCUAUUAGUUUUUGGUAUCAUUGGAGCAACCAUGGUGUUUGUGAGCGUGAGUAACAUUGAAUUUUCAUGUCAACGACAUGACUAUUAAUUUUUUCAUUCUACAUUAAUAAUUAUUUGAUGUAUAUUCAAAUAUAUAAGUGGAGUCUCUCUCUCUUUCUCUCUCUCUCUCUCUCUCUCUCUCUCUCUCUGUCUCUGAAUAUAUUGAUCAAAUUUAUGCAAAUGAAUUUCAUUUUGCAACUGAAGAAUGUUAUUACUACAUAUACCACGUACGAUAUCAAAAAACAAUUUUUUGAAAAUUGAUUUUCAGAACUUCAAUAUUUUACGAAGUAAGUAGUAUAUUUAAGAGGAUAAUAAUUAUCGUAUGCUGUAUAAUUUUUACAUUACUUCUAAUAUUAUUCUCCUUUAAAGAGAAAAAAGUUUUCUUAUUUUCCAUUAAUAAUAAAUAAGAUCUAAGAUACUGUGAGUUAUUUGGAAGUUCAAGUAAUGAAAUUUACAAAAUUAUUGAAUUAGUUUUAUCAAUCGGUGCAAACGAACGACGAGGGACGAAUAUUAAUGAUAAUACUCAUCCUUUUGUUAUCUUUUGUUUCUUACGCUACAUUAACAAUGUACUUUGGCCAAAGAUUAAUCGAUCACAGUUUAGGUGUCUUUUACGACGCGUAAGUAUUCCACUUAUCGGAUCAGAAUAUUAUUAACUUUAUUUUAAUAAUAGUAAUAACGAUAAUUAUAUUGUGCAUACUUAUAGAAAUUCAUACUUUUUUGGAGAUGACUAAGGCAAAAGAAAUUAGAAAAAGAAAAAAAUUGUCUAACAUUACUUAUUUACUUAUUUACUUAUUUAAAAAAAUAUAUUUCUUUUAUAAAAAAGAAGGGUAUAUAUAGAAAAACGACAUACAUUCUCGUAUAAAUUUUAGAUACAAUUCUCAUUGGUACAAAAUCCCUGUGAAAGCUCAAAAAUUGUAUUUAAUGGUACUCACACGUAGUGUAAGAGGCUGCUCAUAUUCCAAGGGCAAAUCCUUCGUUUCGUCGUUACAGGGUCUAACCGCGGUCAUAAACACAACGUUUUCGUAUGUCACGUUCUUCUAUUCCGCAAAAAACUAACGUUUUUAAAAAAGCUGAUAAAAGACGGAUCGAGACAUAAAUGAUGUUUGCCCUAAUAAUUUUGACAUUUAACAGUCUGUUACGUAUCAUUGAUGUUGUUUGCACAAUAUAUGAAAUUAUUCUUGACAUAUUACUGUUUAU